UACGUAGGUGGCAAGCGUUGUCCGGAAUUAUUGGGCGUAAAGCGCGCGCAGGCGGUCCUUUAAGUCUGAUGUGAAAGCCCACGGCUCAACCGUGGAGGGUCAUUGGAAACUGGGGGACUUGAGUACAGAAGAGAAGAGUGGAAUUCCACGUGUAGCGGUGAAAUGCGUAGAGAUGUGGAGGAACACCAGUGGCGAAGGCGGCUCGCUGGGCCGGACCUGACGCUGAGACGCGAAGGCGUGGGGAGCGAACGGG
RNAcentral lists this ribosomal RNA (253 nucleotides) under uncultured bacterium. RNAcentral describes it as "partial 16S ribosomal RNA". It matches the Rfam family "Bacterial small subunit ribosomal RNA", at positions 524 to 776 of the family's 1533-position model. The record is from RNAcentral.